UACGUAGGCAGCGAGCGUUGUUCGGAGUUACUGGGCGUAAAGGGUGUGUAGGCGGUUCUCUAAGUUUGGUGUGAAAUCUCCCGGCUUAACCGGGAGGGUGCGCCGAAAACUGGAGAGCUAGAGUGCGGGAUGGGAGAGUGGAAUUCCUGGUGUAGCGGUGAAAUGCGUAGAUAUCAGGAGGAACACCGGUGGUGUAGACGGCUCUCUGGACCGUAACUGACGCUGAGACACGAAAGCGUGGGUAGCAAACAGG
Molecule: unclassified non-coding RNA, 253 nt
Filed under: uncultured Solibacteraceae bacterium
Lineage: Bacteria; Pseudomonadati; Acidobacteriota; Terriglobia; Bryobacterales; Solibacteraceae
Description: contains 16S-23S intergenic spacer region
Rfam family: Bacterial small subunit ribosomal RNA
Source: RNAcentral